This 494-nucleotide ribosomal RNA is filed under the name uncultured bacterium. Its description in RNAcentral is "partial 16S ribosomal RNA". It matches the Rfam family "Bacterial small subunit ribosomal RNA", at positions 28 to 507 of the family's 1533-position model. The record is from RNAcentral.
GACGAACGCUGGCGGCGUGCUUAACACAUGCAAGUCGAGCGGAAAGGCCUGCUUUCCCUUGUGGAUUGCGGGUACUCGAGUGGCGAACGGGUGAGUAACACGUGAGUGAUCUGCCCCCAACUUGGGUAUAAGCCUGGGAAACUGGGUCUAAUUCCCGAUAGGACUGCAGGGUGGUGCCUGUGGUGGAAAACGAUUUUCUAGUGGUUGGGGAUGAGCUCGCGGCCUAUCAGCUUGUUGGUGGGGUAAUGGCCUACCAAGGCGGCGACGGGUAGCCGGCCUGGGAGGGUGGACGGCCACAUUGGGACUGAGAUACGGCCCAGACUCCUACGGGAGGCAGCAGUGGGGAAUAUCGCACAAUGGGCGGAAGCCUGAUGCAGCGACGCCGCGUGGGGGAUGACGGCCUUCGGGUUGUAAACUCCUUUCGACCGCGAGGAAGCCACCUGGUUGGAAGGGUGGUGACGGUAGUGGUAGAAGAAGCACCGGCUAACUACGUG